CGCUAUCACUCCUACGGGAGGCAGCAGUAGGGAAUCUUCCACAAUGGGCGCAAGCCUGAUGGAGCAACACCGCGUGAGUGAAGAAGGGUUUCGGCUCGUAAAGCUCUGUUGUUAAAGAAGAACACGUAUGAGAGUAACUGUUCAUACGUUGACGGUAUUUAACCAGAAAGUCACGGCUAACUACGUGCCAGCAGCCGCGGUAAUACGUAGGUGGCAAGCGUUAUCCGGAUUUAUUGGGCGUAAAGAGAGUGCAGGCGGUUUUCUAAGUCUGAUGUGAAAGCCUUCGGCUUAACCCGGAGAAGUGCAUCGGAAACUGGAUAACUUGAGUGCAGAAGAGGGUAGUGGAACUCCAUGUGUAGCGGUGGAAUGCGUAGAUAUAUGGAAGAACACCAGUGGCGAAGGCGGCUACCUGGUCUGCAACUGACGCUGAGACUCGAAAGCAUGGGUAGCGAACAGGAUUAGAUACCCUGGUAG
RNAcentral lists this ribosomal RNA (474 nucleotides) under uncultured bacterium. Its description in RNAcentral is "bacterial SSU rRNA". It matches the Rfam family "Bacterial small subunit ribosomal RNA", at positions 328 to 793 of the family's 1533-position model. The record is from RNAcentral.